This 101-nucleotide non-coding RNA is filed under the name Clostridium colicanis 209318. RNAcentral describes it as "TPP riboswitch aptamer (THI element)". It matches the Rfam family "TPP riboswitch aptamer (THI element)". Rfam says of the family: Vitamin B(1) in its active form thiamin pyrophosphate (TPP) is an essential coenzyme that is synthesised by coupling of pyrimidine and thiazole moieties in bacteria. Lineage: Bacteria; Bacillati; Bacillota; Clostridia; Eubacteriales; Clostridiaceae. The record is from Rfam by way of RNAcentral.
AGUUCGUGCUAGGGGUGCCUUUGGCUGAGAGAUGAUUUUAUCAUUAACCCUUUAAACCUGAUCUAGAUAGUACUAGCGUAGGGAAGCUUGAGUGUUUUAAU